GAAAUGCGAUAAGUAAUGUGAAUUGCAGAAUUCAGUGAAUCAUCGAAUCUUUGAACGCACAUUGCGCCCGCCAGCACUCUGGCGGGCAUGCCUGUUCGAGCGUCAUUUCAACCCUCAGAACCCCUUGCGGGAUCUGGCGUUGGGGCUUGGCAUCCAGCCAGCCCCGAAAUCUAGUGGCGGUCCCUCCGCGACCUCCCCUGUGCAGUAGCGAUACCUCGCAGCGGGACAGCGGUCUGACCACGCCAUAAAACCCCCAACUUCUCAAGGUUGACCUCGAAUCAGGUAGGAAUACCCGCUGAACUUAAGC
RNAcentral lists this unclassified non-coding RNA (307 nucleotides) under plant metagenome. Its description in RNAcentral is "partial contains 5.8S ribosomal RNA, internal transcribed spacer 2, and large subunit ribosomal RNA". The stretch from base 1 to 105 matches the Rfam family "5.8S ribosomal RNA", at positions 50 to 154 of the family's 154-position model. The record is from RNAcentral.